AUUGAACGCUGGCGGCAGGCUUAACACAUGCAAGUCGAGCGGGGGAAGGUAGCUUGCUACUGGACCUAGCGGCGGACGGGUGAGUAAUGCUUAGGAAUCUGCCUAUUAGUGGGGGACAACAUCUCGAAAGGGAUGCUAAUACCGCAUACGUCCUACGGGAGAAAGCAGGGGAUCUUCGGACCUUGCGCUAAUAGAUGAGCCUAAGUCGGAUUAGCUAGUUGGUGGGGUAAAGGCCUACCAAGGCGACGAUCUGUAGCGGGUCUGAGAGGAUGAUCCGCCACACUGGGACUGAGACACGGCCCAGACUCCUACGGGAGGCAGCAGUGGGGAAUAUUGGACAAUGGGGGGAACCCUGAUCCAGCCAUGCCGCGUGUGUGAAGAAGGCCUUAUGGUUGUAAAGCACUUUAAGCGAGGAGGAGGCUACUUUAGUUAAUACCUAGAGAUAGUGGACGUUACUCGCAGAAUAAGCACCGGCUAACUCUGUGCCAGCAGCCGCGGUAAUACAGAGGGUGCGAGCGUUAAUCGGAUUUACUGGGCGUAAAGCGUGCGUAGGCGGCUUAUUAAGUCGGAUGUGAAAUCCCCGAGCUUAACUUGGGAAU
RNAcentral lists this ribosomal RNA (599 nucleotides) under Acinetobacter baumannii OIFC189. Its description in RNAcentral is "bacterial SSU rRNA". It matches the Rfam family "Bacterial small subunit ribosomal RNA", at positions 28 to 621 of the family's 1533-position model. Lineage: Bacteria; Pseudomonadati; Pseudomonadota; Gammaproteobacteria; Moraxellales; Moraxellaceae. The record is from RNAcentral.